Molecule: long non-coding RNA, 6100 nt
Organism: Peromyscus californicus insignis
Lineage: Eukaryota; Metazoa; Chordata; Mammalia; Rodentia; Cricetidae
Exons: 3
Source: RefSeq, a predicted model, not a curated record
GCUGCGGCUGCGGCUGCUGCUGCGACUGCUGCUGCUGCUAAGGUGGGCAAAGUGGCAACGCUGCUCUGGGACGUCCCUGUGAGCCGCGUCCAAAAAGCCCGCGAGCCCGGGGCGACGGCAGGUCGCGCCCCGGACACUCGUGUCCUGGAGCCGGUCUCACCGGUGGGUUGAGGGACUCUCUAGUGCCACUCUGGUUCACGUUUUCCUUUUCUGCAGAGUCGCCCCCAGCUCGCCACCAGGACAGUCAGAUGAUGCUAUCUACUAUUGGUUAUUUUACAGCACCUCCAUUUUCAUAGAGCAUCUUCCUGAGACUAAACUUGGAAAGCACCGUAACCACAAAACAUUAUGCAGAGUUCAAAGGGAUGCUGCAUACAGAAUAAGCAAUUUGGGGAGAUUAAAAUUCAGGAGUUCAGUUCCAGCCUGGCAAACAAGACGAGGGGACUUUCCACCCUGCACCAGUGUUCGAAUUUCUGAUUGAGUUACAAGAUUUUUCUUCUUUUGACCUCAGAAGGCACUUGGAAACGUUGGGGGAAAUUUCACCACAUCCUUUAAGUUUUGCUCUGAUUAGCAGGAGAGAUACAUUAGAACUUAGAGAAGUAUCUCAGCCUCCAGUAUGAGUAACCUUGCCAUAAACCCACCCUAAGGUUUCCUGUGCAGGCUUUGGGGGUCACACUUCAUUGUCAGUGUGAUUCAUGUCCACAGUGUUACCAUCACAGCUAGCCAUAUUUUUAGUGGAUAGUCUUGAACUUUUUGCUGAGGGUGUGUGGGGGUUGGGGGGGAGCUAGUUGGUUGGUUGGGUUUUUUGUUUUGUUUUGUUGCAGAGAGUUUUUCAUAUUUUUCUGUUAGGAAAUUCUACAUUACCAUUAAGAAAUGUUUUCUUAGCGUAGCGUUGCAGAGCAGCUGCUUCUCAGCAAUGCCAGCUUCGCUGGCAGUUUUGGUAUUUGUAUUGUGUGUCUUGAUCUUUGCACACGAACCAUGCCAUUAUUAGUUUCUACUAGAGAUAGUUCUGUGUGUGGUAUGUGUGCCUGCUCAUGUGUGCAUAUCUGCACAUAUGUGCACAUGGGUGUAGAGGACAGCAAUUGACUUUGGACAUUGUCAUUCAUCAGUUUUCCAGCUCAUGUUUUAGAACAAAGCCUCUCCCUGACCCUGUAAUUCAUCAGUUCCGAUAGGCUGGCUGGCCAGGGAGUUCAGGGAUCUGCCCGUCUCUGCCCUCUCAGUCCUGGCCUGUUGUCAUCAGAGAGCACUGUAGGCUGAGUCCUCUAACACCCUGCUGGAAACAGUUUAUCCAGAGCUCUUAGUUGGAUCUUUCAUCUUCGUCAUCUACUUUAUCUUCUUCAGAAGUAUCAUUUCCUGACCUUUGUUACCUCACAAGCUUUUGUAGCUGUAUUUCUUGUCUUCUUCAUGGUUUUUUUCAGUCCUAUUCUUCCUUUUUGUCAUCCGAGCAGGGGCUCCCUUAAACCACUGUCUUUUUCAGAAGCGGCUCCUCCAUGAUCCCCAUGGGCCUAUCCUCUUGAGAACGCAUUUUCUUAAGGCAAACUACAGUUCCUGUCACUCAGGGAGCUUCCAGCUGCAAGCGCUGCCCAUCAUUCUACUCCACUGUCUGUCAGAUUCUAUUUUCCUCCGGUUGUUUCUCUAGUAAGCCUAAGGGCUUACCAUGUAGGACCCAGAUCCUCCUUCCUGAUGAAAAGUCUAUAUUGGUGAUCAUUUACAUCUCACUCUAUAGUUUAUGAACAUGUACUCCCAGGCACAAUUUGGAAUCAAAAUAUUCCAAAGUUAAUCACCCAUGUGUUUUUCUCUGCCUAGAAGCCUUUUGAUUUCCUAUUGAUCUAGCUCAGUUACCACUGCCAAGAUGGGAAAUCCUUGACCGCUCAAAGCUGGACCCAGAGUUCCAAAUGCCCAAACAGUAGCCAUAACUUAAGAGUCUAAUGGGACUCUUGUUGUCCCUGGCAGAAGUGCAUCCCAUUUGGAAGCCAGGACCUUCAUACCUCCAAAGUGUAGAGUUGUGGGAACAGGAAAUAGUGUCCUCUAACAAGUCAGUAGAACCGAUGUUCAGUGGGGUCACUUCUGAUUCCUCUGCUUGGUUCUUGGAACUAUGUGUUGUUCUUCUUAGUAGGGGCAAUGCCUUUAGAGGUCUCCGAGUUAGUGAAUGUACUGUUCUGGAAGGAUGGCACUUAAUCCUUAUGGAAUCCUGCUUUUGAACUGGCACUUCAGCUAAACCAUUAUUGCAUUGAAAACAAAUGUUAGGAUUAAGAUGAAUUUUAGUGUUAAAUGCAAGGUCAGGAACACUGAGGAAGGUAAAUAAGAGGGCUUGUAGCUGGGUAUGAAAUAGCCAAGCUGACCAGAUAAGAGAACUUUGGGAAAAGCAAAACCUGUCUCUAGAUGUUUCAGCUGGCCCCAGAAGCCCCACCCUCCACCCUUGCAGGAACAUGUGCAAGACAUCGUUGCCCUUUCCUUAGCAAACAGCCAAAACUUACAGGGAGUUACACCUUCACAGAUAGUCGUGCAUCUAAUUGUAACAGACUGAAUUGUGGGUAAUGGCUUCUAAGAAAGCUUCCACCUAUUUGAGGAAGGAAGGAGACCUUCCCAGACUACCCAGGAAUAGACAAGGGAAGGAAAGCUGGCAGACGAAGGCCAGAUGGCACUGCCACACAGCUCAGCCCGCCCUCCGCUCUGUGCCUUCUCACCUGCUGAAGUAGCCUUGACCACUUGUUAGCUCCGCCUGGGCCCCCAUGUGAGCCUCUUCCCUUGAGCACAAGAACUGAGCCUGCUGCUGCACUUGAAAUUGGAGAGAGUGUGGGAGGAGACGUCUCUCCUCAUCCCUAACACCUUCAGUAGGUUGCCUGGUGUUCUAUCAGGCUGGAUGACCCUACUGAUCCCCCAGUCAGGAGUUCGCAUAUUAUCUUUUUCCUGGGAAGUGUGUCCCCUGUUUGGAUGCGCCAUUGAAUGGGAGCCCAUGCCUGUGGAUCAGGCCUCCUUUAAGGCCCUAGGUGUUAAUUGUAGAGGCUAAGGCCCUGCAAGGCAAGACAGCAAAUCCACACCCAGAAUUAGUUUAUCCCUGUCAAAAUGGACCGCUAGCCACUCCCCAAUGGGAAGAGUCCAUGUUAUUGACCUGCUAGCAGGUUUCCCGUUUUGUCAACUAAUAAUGCCAUAUUGGGCACACAAUGGAGGUCCUGUUACUAGUACGUUCUUCAGAAACAGAUGAAGGGAUGCGUUGGCUUUUGUAACUGGGAAUUUAUGUUGUGGCUCGUGUGUAGCUCACAUGACUGCAUACAUAUCAUUAUAGUGACAGUUCUAGAGUAGGCCAUGACAAAAGCUUGCUUAACACCAACUGAUAGAAUCCUCUGUUUGAUUUUCUUCUGUUCCUCUUUCACGAUGGAUGUUCUAGUCAGAAUGAGCAUGUCAUUAGCCACUAAGCAAGACAGGCCCCUUUAUGUUAAUGCAUUUUUGGGGUAUCCUUUCCUUACUUGCAGCUAAAAGUUUUGGUGUAAGCAGAGCAUUCCUUGAGGCAUGUCAGUUGAUUAGUUUGAGCUCAGCAUGCUCCAGAAUGUGUCUAUUAUAUCUUCUUUUGAAAUUAUGACCUUUAACUGAGCUUACUCGGGAAUGUACUCCUUUUUUUUUCUUAAUAAUACAAAAAUAAUAUUGCUAUGUAAGAAAAUUUGGCCAGCAAGGAGAUGAUGUUUAUAAAAAGAAGGGAAAGUGCCUGAAAAUUAAACAGGCCUCCUGAGUUUUGCUGGAGGACUGACUGAGAAGGUUGCCGUCAGCACAGGAGGCAUGUAAACUGUUGCUGGGUAUCCUAGCCUUGGCCUCAUGUAAGAUCAAGCAAUUAGGCUCCUGAAAAUGGCAAUAAAUUUGGAAUCGUGUGAGUGGUAAAGUUGCAGGCACGCCCUGUUGUAUUAUAACAAAAUAACAACCCUGCCCGAAUCCCUUUUGUCUUGACCCAACUUCAGUCUUCAGCCUCUGUCACAUCCAGUGUUUAAGGUCCAAAUCGAGAGGAGGGCGUGUCGAGGCUCUCUUGGAGGAAGCACCCAUGGAAUCGAAAGGAUUGGAGGAAGAAAGGGGAGGGAUAGCGGCACUGGCACCGGAACUGCUUCGCGUUGGAUAAAUCGGAGGAGGAGGAGUCUCGGCAUGGGCGAUUACUGGUCUUGAGUAUGGGACUCUAGUAUGUGUGGUCAAGGGUUCAUGGCUGUGAGCUGUAGGGGAAUGUUGUUCUUGGGCUCCGCCGGUGACCCUGGAGAGCUGGGGGCUGAUCGGGAUUCGACUGUCUGUCGAGGAAGUCUCCCAUAGUUGUACUUUAGUGGGGAGCAAGGUGGUUCCGAAGUACGCCCGGUCUGGGCUGACUCCUGGCUGAGUUGCUGAGUCUGUAAGAUCUUGGGUGAGAACUUGGGUUUAGAUCUUUCCUGGGGCAAGUGCCCUUUAUCUUCAUCACUUUCAGAUCCGGCAUCCAAAAUCUGAAAGAAGGAACGUGGCAUGGGCGUCUCGUCCUGAUCUGACAACUCACUUUGAUCAUUGUCAUCCAUCUCUUGACCCUCGACAUCCUCAAAAUCUCACUCUGUAAUCCCUGUGCUCCUUUGAGGCUGAACGGUGGUCGGAGCAACCCGAGGGGCUUGAAGGGGUUCUGAGGCUGCAAGACUCCCUGGGCUCAACAUGACCCUUUGAUUAUUGUUGCUUAUAGCUGAGGCUAAUUGCUGAAGCUUCUCACGUUUUGUGGCGAGAAUGAUUUCAGCUUGUUGGUUUCCAGUCUCAUGUUUCUUCUUGUGAAAAUCAAGCAAAAUCUGGGCUUCAGCGUGGUCUAAACCUAAUUGAUAGAUUUCUUGCUCCUCAACGUGCUCUUGCAACCUACAUCAGCUCCACUAGCUACUUGUAGUAGUUGAUGGUACUGCUCACCCACUGGGAUGCCUGCCAAGGUUCCACCAGGUGCUGUUGCUACUCCCAGGGCAAUUGCAGACAACUGCAGAAAUAAUCCUUCUAAGUUAUUUACCCCUGACAAGUUCAUUCUCUGAGCAAAUGGUGCAUAUUCGUGGUGGCGAGCCAAACCUUUCAGAGCAAGCCUAAAGCUCUCAACCUCAUCUCACACUUUUACAGUCUGAACUAGAGGGUGAAGUAAGAUGUGAUCCUCUUCCUUACCGAGGAUAUGGUCUAAAACAUUUUUAACAAUCAAGAGCCCAGAGAAUCUUGCCUGAGAAACAGUGUUUGUUAUAAUAAUGUCAUCGGCAUCGUGCCCAGCCUCUAAACUGAUCCCUUGAUGAAUAAAUAGAAAUGUAAAUGUAAAACUCACUCUCACGAUCCCAAAAACAGUUAUCAUACAUCCUGGAGUCUGCCAGCUCUGUGGGUAUUGUGUGACCCCUUGCUCUGCAUGGAUCACAAUUUGCCUCUGUACUUUCUCAAGGCAGGCCCUGUCCCUGACCACAAGUUUGGGAAGGCAAAGACUGCAAAAGGAAAGAUAUUGCCCAACUCAUCAAAGCUCUCCAAGAUUAUUCAUCAGUGCUACUAAAGCUUACCUUGUCCCUCGGCUGGGGCCUGUUAAUGCAAAGAACUCACUGAGAUUACUAUUUUUAUUAUCCAACACCUUCAGCAUUAGCCCAUGAGCCUCCAAGUAUCAGUGGGCUGCACUUGUCUCGAAUGCCUUCUGCUUUCCCUCAGAAGUGUGUCGGAUACAUAGUGUCAUAAGACAACUAUCCAGCAAGUGUAGAUCUAUCCCCACCUCUAUGGCAUGGAUGAUUUUCGAGCAAAGUUUCGUUCCGUUCCGGGACACCCAUCGAGUAUAUUUCUCUAUUCCAAACUCGACAGGUUGGGUGCCAUAGUUCAAAAUUCCAUGCAAUUCCACAUCAUUUGGAAUGUUAGUGUACCAUUGAGAGGGGUUGUUGGUUGAAACUUUGACAUUUUGGAUGGGUAAUGGCUAGGCUAGAUGGGCAGCAAAGGGUAUUGCUAAGACAAGUUGAUGCAAAAGUCAAUGUCAAUGUUUAAAUGUUUAAAUGUUUAAAUCAUGAAGGAUUUAAUUUUCCUCCAGAAAUGUACUCCUUAACUGAGCAUGCUUAGUACUGGACCACCCCUUACAUGAAUAUGUAUAGGCUCUCUGAAUAAAAUUCCCAUGCUGUCUUUG